GGAGGAAUAUUGGUCAAUGGGCGCAAGCCUGAACCAGCCAUCCCGCGUGCAGGAAGACGGCCCUAUGGGUUGUAAACUGCUUUUCCAGGAGACGAAUAGUCUUUACGUGUAAGGGCAUGACGGUACCCUGGGAAUAAGCAUCGGCUAACUCCGUGCCAGCAGCCGCGGUAAUACGGAGGAUGCAAGCGUUAUCCGGAUUCAUUGGGUUUAAAGGGUGCGUAGGCGGGCUAUUAUGUCAGUGGUGAAAUCCUGCAGCUUAACUGCAGAACUGCCGUUGAAACUGAUAGUCUUGAGUUUGGUUAAGGUAGGCGGAAUGUGUAAUGUAGCGGUGAAAUGCUUAGAUAUUACACAGAACACCGAUUGCGUAGGCAGCUUACUGAGCCGACACUGACGCUGAGGCAC
Molecule: ribosomal RNA, 402 nt
Filed under: uncultured bacterium
Lineage: Bacteria
Description: bacterial SSU rRNA
Rfam family: Bacterial small subunit ribosomal RNA
Source: RNAcentral